This 31-nucleotide non-coding RNA is filed under the name Mus musculus (house mouse). The record is from RNAcentral. Lineage: Eukaryota; Metazoa; Chordata; Mammalia; Rodentia; Muridae.
UGCUAUGGAAAGAUAGGAUGACAGGUCCUGU